RNAcentral lists this long non-coding RNA (339 nucleotides) under Hordeum vulgare. RNAcentral's name for it is "long non-coding RNA (HVUL_LNC008860)". Lineage: Eukaryota; Viridiplantae; Streptophyta; Magnoliopsida; Poales; Poaceae. The record is from RNAcentral.
UGGUACAUGAUCCAAAUUCACUAUCUCAAGUCCGAUCAUCACGUGAGUUGAGAAUAGUUUCAGUGGUAAGCAUCCCUAUGUUAAUCAUAUCAACUAUACGAUUCAUGCUCGACCUUUCGGUCUCAUGUGUUUCGAGGCCAUGUCUGCACAUACUAGGCUCGUCAAGUUUAACCCGAGUGUUCCGCGUGUGCAACUGUCUUGCACCCGUUGUAUGUGAACGUUGAGUCUAUCACACCCGAUCAUCAUGUGGUGUCUCGAAACGACGAACUGUGGCAACGGUGCACAGUCGGGGAGAACACAAUUUCGUCUUAAAAUUUUAGUGAGAGAUCACCUUAUAAU